This is a long non-coding RNA of Neodiprion virginianus, 134 nucleotides long. RefSeq lists it as uncharacterized. The transcript has 3 exons. Lineage: Eukaryota; Metazoa; Arthropoda; Insecta; Hymenoptera; Diprionidae. The record is from RefSeq and is a predicted model, not a curated record.
GCUCGGAUGCUUCUCGUCGCUCGGGUCAUUCCCGUCGCUCAGAGCGGAGUCACUCGCGUGAAAUUGGCCAGGGCUCACAACAACUUCCGCAGGAGUCGGAGGAAGAGCGAGAGGAAUUUCCGACACGGACUCAG